CUUGUACUCCCUCCGUCCCAAAAUAAGUGUCUUGAACUUAGUAUAAACUUGUACUAUAGCUAGUAUAAAGUUGAGACACUUAUUUUGGGACGGAGGGAGUAGAAU
Molecule: microRNA precursor, 105 nt
Filed under: Hordeum vulgare
Lineage: Eukaryota; Viridiplantae; Streptophyta; Magnoliopsida; Poales; Poaceae
Description: microRNA MIR1122
Rfam family: MIR1120/MIR1122 microRNA precursor family
Source: RNAcentral